Molecule: ribosomal RNA, 466 nt
Filed under: uncultured bacterium
Lineage: Bacteria
Description: partial 16S ribosomal RNA
Rfam family: Bacterial small subunit ribosomal RNA
Source: RNAcentral
GAUGAACGCUGGCGGCGUGCUUAACACAUGCAAGUCGAACGAUGAAGCCCAGCUUGCUGGGUGGAUUAGUGGCGAACGGGUGAGUAACACGUGAGUAACCUGCCCUUAACUCUGGGAUAAGCCUGGGAAACUGGGUCUAAUACCGGAUAGGAGCGUCCACCGCAUGGUGGGUGUUGGAAAGAUUUAUCGGUUUUGGAUGGACUCGCGGCCUAUCAGCUUGUUGGUGAGGUAAUGGCUCACCAAGGCGACGACGGGUAGCCGGCCUGAGAGGGUGACCGGCCACACUGGGACUGAGACACGGCCCAGACUCCUACGGGAGGCAGCAGUGGGGAAUAUUGCACAAUGGGCGCAAGCCAGAUGCAGCGACGCCGCGUGAGGGAUGACGGCCUUCGGGUUGUAAACCUCUUUCAGUAGGGAAGAAGCGAAAGUGACGGUACCUGCAGAAGAAGCACCGGCUAACUACGUG